This is an RNA transcript of Lutzomyia longipalpis, 4655 nucleotides long. RefSeq lists it as uncharacterized. The record is from RefSeq and is a predicted model, not a curated record. Lineage: Eukaryota; Metazoa; Arthropoda; Insecta; Diptera; Psychodidae. The transcript has 2 exons.
UUGUUAGAUUUUUAAGUUUAAAGUUUAUCAUAUAAUAGAAGAAGAAGAAGAAUUACGAUAGAAAAAAAGAACAAGAAGAAUUAGGUAGACAUUUUAUGUGAGGAAGUCAAAGAAGAAGCACGUGUGGCUUAUAGAUUAAGAAAGUUAAAGAUUGAGAAACGAUUGAAAAAGGUAAAAUAAGAUAAAUAAGUGAAAAAGGGAAUACAAUUUAAUUUAUGUCAUAUUUUUUAUAGAAUUAGUGCAAGCAAAGAAGAGAGUAGUUAGAGGAGAGGCGGCGUUGAAGCCCUAAAGUUAAAAUAGAGUAAGUAGUCUAAGCAAAUGAUAAAGCGCCCCUCUUCUAAAGCCCCAAUGUAUGUAAUUUGUAGGUUAAAACAACCGCCAUCUCCGUGGAUAAUAAAUGUGCACGAAGCACACUUAACAAGAAAGUAACAUUCUUUUAACUCUAUUUUGGAGUUAUUAUUGUGCGAAGAUGUUGAGGACGCCCCCGGGAGGUGAGAACAAAGGUGAGACGGCGGGACAGGAGUCUCCGCUAAAAGAUGAGAAGUUUCGGGGAUUUAGCGAGGAAUCCAUUGGCAAAGAGAAUGUUCAGGAGUUGAAGAUGAUCUCUGCGGAGAAGAGUAUACUAGACCUAGAAAUCACAGAGACAAGAAUGAAGUUGCGUCUUGCGCAGCUAGAGAAGCAAAAGGCCAUGGAAAUCCUUCACAUGAAGACCUCCACACCGAUUCCCCACAAAAAGACUCCCGUUGUGGCGUAUAGAGUCGACGAUGAUUUUGAUGAUGAUGAGCCGGUUGGGAAAGUGCAAGAGGGGCCCCGGUUGGAAGAGAAGUCCCGGUUGGAAGAGAAGCCCCGGCUGGAAGAAAAGCCAGCCCCAGUUGUUCCAGAAGUUCCCAGGCCGACAGAGAGGUACGUGUCAGACAUGCAGAUGUUUAUGGCGCGACAGACGUUGACGAGAGAGGUGAAGCAAUUCGACGGAAGCUUCCGUGAAUGGCCAGGCUUCAUCAAUUGGUGGCGAAGCACCUCUGCUGCAUGUGCUUUUACACCCACAGAAGAUAUUACGCGAUUGGACAAGUGCCUCAAGGGUGACGCCAGAGAAGCCGUGCAAUUCCUUUUGUACGACAGCAAGAAUGUACCGCGUAUCCUAGAUGUACUUGAGAAGAGAUUUGGACGUCCCGAAUUCCUUGUGAUGUCUAUGCUAGAGAAAGUCAGGGAGCUUCCUGCAGUUAGAGAAGAGGACCCUGAAUCAGUGAUGAAGUUUGCGAGUGCAGUGGAGAAUCUGAUGGCAUCCUUGGAGAUUAUGGGACGUGCGAGCUACAAAGAGAAUCCCCACUUGAUUUGGGAAAUUGUCGAGAAGCUUCCUACAAAUAUGAAGAUUCAGUGGUCAGAAGUAGAUACAAGUAGUGGGUUCGGAGAUUUGGAUGUGCUAGUGAAGUUCCUGAACAAGAAGGCUGAGGCCGCAAUGAAGCGCAUCAUGCAAUCCAGAGAUAAGAUGUCCACUGAGAAGUCACCAGAAAAAGGGAAGCAAAAUCAGAGGAGUGGGAAAACGCAUAAAGUGAUGACUACGACAGAAGAUAAGAAGAAGACGUGCAAUAUUUGCGAUGAGGAAGGCCACUUCGCAAAUAAUUGUCCACAUCUAGUGCAAGCGGCGCUCGAAGAUCGUCGCAAAUUGAUCAUGAAUAGGAGUCUGUGCUUCUUGUGCCUGAUGAAAGGACAUCCAGCAGCAGAUUGCCGCCGAACGUCGAGGUGUUCAAUAGAUGGUUGUGGGAAGAAGCAUCAUGAGUUGCUACACACGCCGACAGAGAGACCACAGCCUACACCAGGCCCCUCUACCGCCCCGCGGGAUGAGAUAGUGCCACAUGUGAACACCACAAUGUACUCGUACUCAACUGCAAAGAAUAAGAUUCUCAUGAAGAUUAUUCCGGUGAUUGUGACUGGGCCUCAGGGCACAGUAAGGACGUUUGCAUUCUUGGACGAUGGAUCCUCAAUCACGAUGAUCAAGGCCAGCUUGGCGAGAAAGAUGGGUCUGUCCGGGCCGGUGCGGCCACUAGUGUAUCAGGGAGCGAAUGCUGCGUCACAGUUGGAGAAAGAUUCUGAAAUAGUAGAGUUCAGGGUGAAGGGAACGUUUGAUCGCGCAAAGGAGUUUACAGUGAAGGGUGCUCGUACAGUAGCAGUGAUGUCUUUGCCGAAACAGACCACCAAUGUGACGGCUCUUGCGCAAGACUGGAGUUAUUUGGCUCAGCGUCCUGUUGAGCCCAUGCAAAAUGCAGAGCCUGAGAUUCUCAUUGGAGUGGAUAAUGUUGCCCUAAUCACCGCUAGAGAAGUCAUUCAUGGUGCUUGGAAUGCGCCAUAUUUGAUCAGGACGUGGCUUGGAUGGAUAGUCAUGGGUAAAAUUGGACGCAGUCCGGAAACCCCCAUGGAGUAUGCGUGCACUGCAAUUGAAGAAGUGGGUGAGAUUUGCGAUGUGAACAAUUCGUCAUCCGCUAUUGAGGACUUUGGUGUGAAGCACACAGUCGAGAAUGCAGUGCCUAGAGAGGAUAAGAGUUUUACAAUUAUGGAGUUGGCUACAGACGUGAUAAAAGAUAGUAGAUUCGAAGAAAGUAAUUUAUGGAAAAAUGAGCAGCCCCCUGAGGUGUCAGAAGACCGCCCAGUCGUGAUGAUUUGCCCGCUCGAGCUCGAGCACAAGCUGGACGAGGACCCAGAGUUGACCCAGGAGCACUGCGAGAAGAUGACGGAGCAUGUCCAGGAUGGAUACUUGCAGCCGUUUAGUGAAGAUGAUAAGAAGUUGUCAAAGCCGGAAGUGUGUAUCUCACCCACACUUGCCGUGAAUGUGAAGAUUGACAACAAUGAGAUGUUGAAUGAGAAGCAUCCGGAAGCCAUCCAGGAGAUUCUCAAUUGUUGUGACGAUUACCUCGAAAUUCAUGACACUCCGGAUGAGGCCAAGCAGUUGGUGCGGGGAGUCAUAAAAGUGCAAAGUGCAGAAGAUUUUCGCAUGGUAAAUUGGUGUACAAGUGAUGUGAAAGUGUUGGAUGAUCUACCAGCCGAUUAUUCAUAUAAAGACGAAGUGAAGUUUGAAGACAGUUCGUUCGAUAAGGCGAUCACUGUACGACAGAUGUUUGACGGUGACAUGUUUACUUUUUGUGCAAAUUUCCACCGUGUACCACCCGAUAUUCUUUAUGGUGAAAAGACACCCACGAUGCGAGAGCUUCUCCGGCUAGUCAUGUCAAUAUUUGGUCCUCUGGGAGAUAUUGGCAUGUUCGUAGUGAAAGGAAGGAUGAUCCUACAGGAGAUUCGUCGUGCAAAGAUUGGAUGGAGCCCUGAAGAUAGUGGAGAGUUGUGCUGUCAGUGGCUAAAGUUUGUGAAAUUGAAAGACAUUGAAAAAGUUCGAGAAGUCUAUUUGCGAGUUAUUCAUCCAGAGGGAGUAGUUGUCGAGUGUCUGAUAGUUUGCACGCGCGUGGCACCGACCAAAAAGGUGAAAAUUCCCCGUCUGGAGCUGCAGGACGUAGUUUUGAAUACGCAUUUAGGCGAAUGUUUGGAGGAUACGCUUGAGAUGCAGGUCAGUGACAGUGAAUGGUCAACAGAGAAGGAGCAGAAAGAAGUGAUCGAUGAGCCCGAGAUGCUGCCAGCAGUAGAAAAAGUUUGUGAGGUUAUCCGGAAACCCAUGCUUCCGGACGUGAUGAGAUUCUUUGAUUGGUGGCGCAAGCUGAUGGAAAUGGCGCGAGUGGGAUUUUGUACCUUGCGUUGGUUCAAAAAGCAUCGUGAGAGAAGAAUCAGUGGCGAGAAUAACGUGGGGGAGCCCCCACUGAUUGAGCUGGAAGACAUUGCUUGGGCAAAGAAGGAAAGAAUCAAAGAAGUACGACGUGGAUACGUGAAGAUGAAAGCUGCAGUGUGGUGUACAUGGACGAUAGAUCAGUUUUUCCCGAAUCGUCCUGCACACACACAUCUGGGAUUGGUCAGUGAAGCUGUGAGACGCCGUCAGAAGAAGCGCUGGGAUGAUAUCUUCAGCUUGCUGGCUAGACGAGCCGUAUGUUUGAAGAUUACGACCUAUUGGGUAGCUGACAGCGCCGUCGCAGCAAUCCGGCGAUUCUUGGACCGCCGCGGGAAGAUUGAAGCAGUACGUUACGACGGUGAGAGGAAGUUUGAAAGAUUCAUGGGAAAGUGGAAGAAAAAGCAGCAGCCAAACAGUGAUGGAGAAGCAGUGUCGAUCAUGAAUAGAUAGAAGCAAGAAGACUGGCUGUAAAGUAUUGUGCAAGUGAUGAACCCCCUGAUUUGGGUGCUUCGCGCACCGUGGGGGAGAAAUGUUAGAUUUUUAAGUUUAAAGUUUAUCAUAUAAUAGAAGAAGAAGAAGAAUUACGAUAGAAAAAAAGAACAAGAAGAAUUAGGUAGACAUUUUAUGUGAGGAAGUCAAAGAAGAAGCACGUGUGGCUUAUAGAUUAAGAAAGUUAAAGAUUGAGAAACGAUUGAAAAAGAAUUAGUGCAAGCAAAGAAGAGAGUAGUUAGAGGAGAGGCGGCGUUGAAGCCCUAAAGUUAAAAUAGAGUAAGUAGUCUAAGCAAAUGAUAAAGCGCCCCUCUUCUAAAGCCCCAAUGUAUGUAAUUUGUAGGUUAAAACAACCGCCAUCUCCGUGGAUAAUAAAUGUGCACGAAGCACACUUAACAAGAAA